This is a long non-coding RNA of Corvus hawaiiensis (hawaiian crow), 9677 nucleotides long. RefSeq lists it as uncharacterized. The transcript has 2 exons. Lineage: Eukaryota; Metazoa; Chordata; Aves; Passeriformes; Corvidae. The record is from RefSeq and is a predicted model, not a curated record.
GUCAGACUCAUGAGAUCUGGUCUCGUGUUUGAAAGUAAGGUUCAGUUUCCUUCAUUUUCUGGUCUCUCAUUCUGUAGAGUUACAACAGCAAGAUGAAAGUUAACAGCUUGGAAGAAGCCAAGCUCAUCUAGAAGUCAAAACAUCACCAUAUGUUAGUACUGCAACACAUGCAAUGUAGACAAAUUUCAUAUUGCUGUGAGUCUUAAAUCCUAAUCUACAGCAUACAUGGACCUACCCAGUGCUCCAACUGUUUCUGAAAAUGGCUGGUUUCCAGUCUUUGUUACUUUAUUUGCUGAACACCGUGACAGAUGUCAGCUAGGAGUGGAAAAAAAUGUUAACUUGGCACGUUUUUGAGGAGCUUAGAUAAUGUUUGUGUAAGUCUUUCAGGGUAAGUGAUAAUAGCAUAAUAAUCUCAAUGUAUGAGCCUGUAUGGUAAGCAUAACCUAUUCAUGCAAGAUUCUGUAACAGAUAAUUGUGUAAAUUAUCUUAAUAUAUACAUGCUUGAGAUUUCACUGUGUAUCCUUCUCAGUGCAUUUGCAGGCUCUGGUGUAAGCUUUGUGACAGGUCAAAGCCUCUGCCUCUUUUACUGAAGUGGUCCUACAAGGAAAAUGUAUUAGCAUCACAAGAUAGUACUUUGUCAGUUUAGCAUUAUUUGCCAGCAAGUAGCACUCAAAUUAGUACUUGUAAAUCACAGUAGUAUCAUCCUCAGGUUCUUGUAGACUGUGAUUCCAGCUCACACAUGGAGCUUUGGAAAUAGGUUAGACUAUGGUACUUCAAACCCCAUAGAGAACUCCCAGAUCUACUCAGAAGAAUAUUAACCCUGAAAUUAGACUGACCUGAAUAAAAUGGGCUCUAAAAUGCUCAUAAUCAUCUAUCUUAAAAAAUAGGGGGGAGUAAUUUAUCUUCAUCAAAUUCACAUUGAACUUUAAUCAACAAAAAUAGUGACAGUGAGUAGAAACUUACUUGUCCUCUUACUACUUACAGUAAUUCUAACUUUAACAAACUAGAAAUUCUAAAAUUCUAAUUUUAACAAGGGCAUUGUGCACCUUUUGUCACACUUGUUCUAUAAAAAUUACUCUUUCUCAUUAAGCAGGUUAAUUUUCAUUGCCAGCAAUUAUUGAACGAUGGUCUGGUUUUUUCUUUUUUUUUUUUUCAGGUAUACUUAAUAGCUAACUUUCCCCUGUAUUCAGUGAAUAAUAAUAAAAAACAAAAUACUGUAAAUAUUAUCCCACUAUUACUUUUCCACUGCAACAGCAGGAAUGCCUACAAAAUGAAAUGUGGGAGAAUAUGAUGUAGACAAUUGCUGGGGAUGCAGACACUCCUCCACGCAACUCCUCUGUUGGAACAAUGGCCUGUAGUAUAAAAGUUUGUCGACACUGUGUUGCUUUUGGCAGAUGACGGUUCAGCCAGUGCAGCAACCAGACAGACUGGAUACUGAAGGCCAGGAGGAAAUGUCUUCAAAAGCUACAGAAGAUACAAUCCUGUAAGACAGAUGACAUGCCAUCACCUUAAGAGAUGGAAAGUCUUGAUCUGCUCCCCUAUAACAAUGAAGCCAUUAACUAUAUGCAAAAAGGUGGAGAAAACAAAACCUUGAAUAUCCUGGGAGAAGUUCUCUCUGCUUGUACUUAGUCCUUAUAGCCAUUUGGGCUCUCUUUAUAAAAGUCCUUUUUAAAAUUUUCUGUAUGCCUAUGAUGAGUGCAAGUAUCUGAGAUGGGCCAGAUGAUGGGUUAUUAGUUGAAACAUUAAUUAGGAAGAGGACAGUCAAUCCUUCACUCGUUACUCCUCUUUUAUUUAUGUGCUACUGUGUUUUGAGUGUACCACUUGGUUAAUAUGAGGGGAAAAUGGAUGGGUCAUGUUUUGAGUCCAGCUAUUUAAUUUGUUACUGUAAGACUAAAAUUGUUCUCAUGUAUCUCACCCAUGAUUUAGUGAGUUAAGUACUUAAGUGUUUUUAACAAUUUCUGUAUGAAGUGAUCUCAAAUACUUUCAGUAAAAGCCUCAUGCAGAAGUCUGUGAUAUAUGAUUAGUUUUUCCCUCAUGUUGCAAAAAAGGUGGGUGGUUAGUCUUCAACUUUUUUAUUAACCACAUAAUUCCCUUGUUUUAGAUGGCCAACUAUUUAUUUAAUAUAAUUGAAACCAGUCUCCUUUCUUACGUUUACUGCUGUAUCAGAUGCAGGUUUGUUUUCAUAUUAGAUUUGUAUUACUGCAGUAUUCAAAUGGAGUAAUUCCUGAUCUGAAAUGUACAUCUCCUACAAGAAUUUGUCCUUUUCUUAAUUACCUUUCUUGAGAUAAAUAGAUCUAGUAAGAACAAACAUGAAGGGGUAUCAUGUAAUGAAGUUCAUGCUUCCUGCUGUUGUACCUGGUAAUGGGUGAAGGAUUGCAGCUUGGAAGGGGAGAUUGGGAAAGUCUUCUGCUCAGUUCUGAAAUCUGGGAUAUACUGAAAGGUAUUUUCUAGCAAUUACUGACAAAGUGAUGUGCAAAGGAGGCUUAGACAGGAAAACAUGCCUCUGAGCAGAAGAAUGCUCAUGUAGAGCAGGAGAAAAAAAUAUAAACCAAAUUAAAUGUGUAUUUAAAAAAACCCUAAUCUGUUUAUACUUAGUAUUUAAACAACUACAUUAAUAAGACUAGACUACUGGAAAUAACAUUAUUUACCUUUUUUUUUGUGUAUGUACUCAUCACAGAUUUUACAGAUUAGAAUACACAAGGUAAGUCUCCUCCAAAAUUACAGUACAGAGUAUUGAUUCUGUUUAAAUAAAACACCAUUGCCGAUUUGAAACAGGUUCUGAUUUAACAUACAUCUCCUAUGGAAAACAUUUCUGCACUCUCUCAUGUAUAUACUUAUAUAAUCAGAGAUACAGAUAUAGAUAUGUGUAUAUAUAAAAACCACCUUAAAUUGUCACUUUUGGGGCUUUUUGAUUACCAAAAAUUGUCAGAGCAUGGCUGUCUUCUUCUAUACAGGUGUAUACAAUUUAUUGUGAAUCCGAGUUUUUAAGUCACAAACACUAUUUUAGUAGUGCAUUUUAAUAGAAGAGCAUCUGCACUCGGGUGAUCUGACCAGCAGAUGUACUCUAAUAUUUGCAAUGAUGUUUUUUGCAUAUUAUGAAAAUAAUGGGUUUGUACCUUAUUGAUGCUUAAGGUUCAUCCCUUCUGUUUCUGUAAAUAUUCCUUUUCCACAUAAAGCAACAAUGUUCUAGUUCAGGGAACAUUAAUGAGACAAGUUGAUUCUGUCUCCAAGUGCCCUGCUUUGUAAUCUUCCAGAAAUACAUUUCUUAAUAAUUUUUGUUUUUACUACUGUGAUCCUACAACAAGAUUUACUAUAAUUCUUAGCUACAUAAACAGAAGAAUGCCAACAGUAGAGGCAGAUGAAUUGUGUAGGGCAUUGAUGGAACCUUACUGAAAAUGAUUCAGUGAAAAGCUCUAGAAAUAGUGACAGUAGAAAAUGUAUCACUGGUAUGUGUUUAGAAUCUAUUUUAGGUUGACUUAUUCAAAGAAGAUACCAUAAUAUGCAGCUGAACCUGAGAAUAUUUAAAAGGCUGGAAAGGAGUGUGUUCAUCACGGAGGAGUACACCCAAUAAUAACCUACUUGCUGAGGGAUGAUUAGAUGCUACUUUAAAGGUUUGACUACUGCUUAUGUCUCAAAUUCAAAACCAGUAUUUCUAUUUUGUAAAUGGACAAGCUACAGCACAAGGUACUUUUUUCUAUUUCUUCCAAUUCUUAUGGGAAACUUUUUUUUCUUGCCUUCUGUCUUUCUUCCUUCUAGAAAGGCCUGAGUACAUGUUUAACUUACUAGCCUUAAUUUAAAAAGAGGUGUGACAGUUCGCAUUAAUAAGAAUACAUAAUUUGAAAGCAAAGUAAAAAUAUUUUUUGUAAGAUGCCUUUUCUAAUUCCAAAGGAAUUACCUAAAUCAAAGUAUGCUGAACAGUGUUAUGUCUCAGUGUUUACUUAAACCAAGAGUCAGGUCCUUUGUUAAAAUCAGUAUGACUCAAAUCCUUAGCUUACUGAAAGAAAUGCAGUUUAAAUUUUAGCUAAUUAUUUUAAGGAAGUGUCUAGAGAUACUAACUGAGACCAAAAGAAUUUUCUUUUCAAGCUGUACGUGAUAUGUGGAAUACAACAUCCAGAGUAUAAGGAGAGAAUUGUAAUGUCCAGUAUUAGAGAAUUUAAACAAGGCUAUUUCUUUGCACAACUGCCCUAAAUUAAAGGGUAUACCUGAAGCAUCAAGAGUGAAGAGUCAGUAACAGUGCUGAAAAAAGCAUAGCUUGAAACAUAUAUAUAUAUAAACAAAAUAAACACUAGAGUUAAUUAUAAAAGUGGAAGUGCUUUUGGUUAGACCUCCCCCCAAAAAGGUAUCCCUCCCUGUAUUCUUGGUCCUCUAUCAAAUGGCUGUUCACAUUCUAGUCCACUUUAUUAAUCCCUCCUUUUUCCUCCCCUACUACUCUGCUUCUUUUCAGUUCAGUUGUUGCCAUGUUGCUUGUUUACAUAGCAUUCCAUAUGAAAUACCUCACAACAAUUUCUACUUCAUACCUAAAGAAUUCCCCCUUAAUUGCAGCAAUUCUUAAUAUUAUCAAAAGCAUGCUAAACACAACAGGUUAAAACAAGAAAUGAAGACUACAACUAAUACUGCAGAAAAAAUCUGUGUAGGCAGCAGUCACCACAGAUGGGAUUCAUUCAGUAUACUGCUCUAAGUUCUACCACCCACAUAAUCCCCAUUAUUUCCUAGCAAACACACUUCAUUAGCUCUGAAGAAAUCUCUGUUGUCUCUCCCAGCAGAUCACUGAAGGUACUGUCAUGAUACGGAUAUAAAAGUUAAAGGUCAUAUCACUUAAAAACCGUUUCUUUAGGAUCCUUUAGAAGGUCAUAAUAAUUAAGCAUGUUUUCAUUUGAUGACAACCAACAAUAUAAUUUGAUGAACCACUACUAAAUUUAUCCUUUAUAAGUAAAAGUAUUCUUCCUGCUAGUAUUGAGCAUUAGGAUGUCAUUAUCCAGUGGUUCUCCCUGUUCCCUAUUUGUUUGUUCAUUUGUCCCAAUUAAUUAAACGAUAGUACAAACUCAAGAAAGCGAUGUGCUGUCCCAGAGGAAGGAAGCAAGGCUCUGCCUUUGCAGGAGCACAAGCUGUCAUUCCUGAUUUGUAUACAGGGUGGAGUUCUGCAUUCUUUUUAUUGCUCCGACUGUUGACACUGAUGACAGUUCUUGCAGGGGAGACAGUGCUUUGAUCAUGUGCGUAGCUGCGGAUGAGGAGGAAACUAGUAUUGCCUUAUUACAAGGGACACAACAACUUAGGGAACUUGGCUGAGUGAAUGCAAAGAUAGAAAUUCUGAUUCUUCUGCCCUUUUCCUGCAAACCCCCCUCCCUCCCCCAAACUGUUGUGCUACAAUCUAGUUAUAAAGCAGCUUUGCUGUAAACAGAAUCAGAUGGAUCCAAAUUCAAAUGGAAAAAAAAACCCCAACAAAUGCUUGUUUUGUUAUUUUAGAGGGGGAAAAACCCAUAAAAUUAUGAAAAAUCACCUGAUCUGAUUCACAAAUAGUUGUAGCAGCACAACUGUGAGGAGCAAGGCACUGUGGUGAGAGUGCAAACUCUACAAGCUGGUGUAGCUGCCAGAGUACUCAUACUGUUAAACCACAACUAAACACGUCAUAACACCCUUAGCAGAAUUUAAUUAAAACGUCCAAAUCAUCCAUUCUUGUGGUGGUCAGUUCAUUUUGAGUUAGGAAAGAGUAAUUGUUUCCAAGUACUUUGCCUGCAGCAGUGGAGUAGACUACACAAGCCAGUCUUAUUUACGAGUUUUUAAUAGAUUACCGAAUCAGCCAUGUGGCUUUAUGUUCUUAAAAAUAUUAGCUGCUAAAUGUUAGUUGCUAAAGGUCAUAGAAUUGCAGUUGGAAGAGUUUGCUGUUCAAGCACUAUCUUGUCACUUCUAGUUCCUCCAUUUAAUGAAUUGUUAACUAACAUAUUUAAUGCCUCAGGGAAUCUCCAUCUUACUAUUCUUUCCUUCCUAGUAACUUUACAGAUUUCCGUGAAUGAAACAAUAGAGGUUUCACACUGAUUUCCUCCGUUUCAUUUCAGGCAGCUGGUGGUGAUGUCACACACAAUCACCUGUGUCUAACAAGCACCUGAUACUGUUCCAAAGUACAAGAUGUAUGCACAUACCAGCUCUGUAUCGGCAUUUGUACUACAAACAGUGGAUUGCUAUCAUGAUUCAGAUAAACAGACGACUAGUUCAGUUGUUUUAGUUACUUUGGAUCAUUUCCUGCAGCUUUACUCAUCCUCCCAAUUAACAUGAAUACACAUUUGGGUUUUUUCCAAGUUAGCCAUUAAGGAGGUUAAGUAGGUUGGGCCUUAUGACUAAUGUUUCCUUGGCUCUGACUGUAUUUUGCUGCACCCGUAUUCUAUCAUACUUUAUUAGCAUGCAGGAGAAACUCUGAGAUUCCUAAUUGUAGGACAGCACUUGAAAUGUUCGAGAAAUCCCCAAGCUCCAAAAUGAGAAAUCCCAGUCAUAAGUAAGACCCAGCACAUACAGAAAUAUUCAUACUUUAAAGAGACAUCUUGCAUUAGUAUUGCCAUUAUUAAUACACUUUCCUCCUGCUGAGCUUUCAUGUUCUGUAUUGAGUAAAAAAAGAAUCAAUUCCCAGUGCCACAACAAAACUUAGUCAAGAGGGUGCUGCAGUAAUUGGAUGAGGCUCUUCAACCCCUGAAGAUGUUUGUUGUUCUACCAACAUGGUAAAGGCAGUAAACAGCUUUUGUCAUUCCUGAUGCCUUGUCACAGGCAACAGAUUAAAAAUGCAGUUGCUUAACUAUUUCACUACAUAAACUUUAAAUGUAAUCCUCUUUUAGAAAUGUCAGCAAUAUAAAGAGGAAGCAGCUAAAGGGAAGCAACAUGAUCCAUCAAUGUGCAGUAAGCAUAUCCCUCACCAGUGUUUAGUUGUGAAUCAUGAUGAAUAUUACAUCCAUGGAUUAAAGUCCUGAUCUUACAUAGUCAUCUGCAUAGAAAAUGGGUCUGUUCAGGAGCUGCAUAUUGUCUGUAUAGACACUUACCUGGAACAAGAAAAUCUUUUUAAGUUGGCUUUAGAAAUCACCUUAGCUAAAUUACUAUAAAAGAAAAAAAGGCACAUAUUCUACAAUAAGAAUAUUCACUUCAAGGGUGGGUACUCCUUGAAAUGUUUAUCUACCUAGGGCUGUGCUCCAGGUGCUAGUGCUGCAGUGAAAAUUGAUUACUCUUUCCACACCUCACUGUAUAUAUGAAAUGGCUCUUACAAUGCCUUGGUUUGCUUUGCUCUAUUGUGUUUUACAUUACUUCACCAUAGAAGAGCAGGAAGUACAGAGAUAGUACUACAGGUGUUACAUGUUGUGGGUGUGUUGAUUUCUACUUUUGAAUCAAGCCACUGACUGAAUUUCCUCCUCCUGUAUGCUACAAGUAAAAAACCAAAACAAAACAUCUAUUUAAACAUAAACACCAGUCUUACUUCCCCUAUCUUUUGUAGAUAUUUGUGUUAAGGAUCAAAAAGGAGGGAAUAUUCUGUAGCCUUCAUAGAAAUUCCUGACUGAGAAGCACCAAUGAAGAACCAGUUGCAUAUGGCAUUGUUUCAGUAAAAACUGUCAUUUUUAUAACCCACGCACUGUUGCCUGUAUGUACUUUCUUUCCCUACUAGAAAAUCAAGCAAGUCAGAUGGAAAGAAGCGUUAAGACUUGAAAUAGGUUAAGUUUACCUAGAAGUGCAGUUAAGUGUGCUCCAAGGGCAGGUCAGCAGAAGCUCUUCUUGCUUUCCAACCCAGAAGAUCACAAGAGCAUGUUGAUGUACCUCAGUGCCAAUGGUCUGGCUAAGGUGAAGCAAAUCCUGCAGUGAUUAAUGUUUUUUUCCUGGUCUGUUUGCCUGAGCUCUGUAAUUGAAAAUUGCUAAAGCAGGUCAUUUGAAGUAUGUGUGGUAUCUUAGGAACUAUAACUUAAUGAUCAUAAAUUUGCAUUACAAAUGCUCUUUUAGCUCCUUACUUGGCAUAAAUUUUCAAUCUGAACUGCUUAUUAAGUAUACCACAACUCACUCACCCUGUAAUUACCACUGGCCUAAUAUCUGUUCAUUUAAGUUCCAUUUUCUUCUAGUUUUUAUUCUCUAUUCCCUUCUUUCAGAUGCUUUUGAUUUUAUUUAAAAAAAUCAAGUAGUGAGUUCCGAUUUCUCAUUCAUUUUUCUGCAGUGAGGAAACAGAAAAACCCAUAUAGAAAUUAGUAAACAAUCAGCUAAAACAUAUCAAGGAAAGGUUUAACAAAGAACACUGUGGAAGGUGGAAUAAAUGGCAAAAAUACAUGAAAGACAGAUGUCACCUUUUCAAAUUCAGUGAUGCUAUACUUGCCUUCUUUAAAAAAAGCUUUCAGAGAAGUAAGACUGGUAAUUUUAGUCUAUUCAGUAGGUACAGCUAUUAAGCAUAAAUUUUGAAGAAAUUAAAGGCAACAGUGUUUGGAAUGUUUACCAUCAGCAGGUAAGAUUAUCAAGUUCCUGAAUGUUCAAAUACAAAACAUUUAAGCUAUGGCCAGAUACUGCAUUCAGGAGAUUGAAAAGCAAAACUUUAAUCAAGCUGAAAGAUUUAAGAUGUUUCAGUGAAAUAGUUAAAAAGAUGUACGUAAGCAUUAAGUCAUUAAAAUGACUUAAGCCUUUUAAUCUUCUCAAAGGCAGAUUAGGCUACAUUUAAACAAAACAUGACAUGAAGUCUAGGUUUGGUUUUACACACUAUGUAUCCUUGGUACAGAAUUCAGUAUGUGUAGUUCUGAACACUGAGCUUCGUAAGAUAGCAUAUAUUCCUACAGUUCCCAAAAUAUACUUGCUAUAGAGAUCUUUCUAACAGCUAUCUGCAAAAACCACUAAUGACCCAUCCUAAUAAUACAUGUAUUACUUCUACAUUUUCAGGAAAAAGGAAAACUCUUUGAAGUCAGGUAAAUGUUUGUGCUCAUACCAAGUGCUGCCAGUACAUGAUUUCAUUAUUCCCUUUAAAUUUUGAUAUUUUCGUAAGCUCCAAUGGCAAAUAAAAGUCCAUGUAAUACCAGUUUUCUUAUACAAUAUGGGCAUGUUAUUACUUAUUCCUUUGCAAAAUUUGUGACUAAAGAAAAAGCCUUUCAGAAUAAUUCCUUAGCUCUAUUGAAUAUGAAGAACAAAAAAAUAUAAUUGUGAAUAAUGCACUUUUAAAAAAUAUCUGUAAAUGUUUUCACUGGUGUUUUCAUAACAAUAAAACCUUUGCUUUUAAACCUUGCAGAACUAAGAACGCUUUAAAAAAACAUAAGGUUUGGGAUAUAAUUUUUGGUACCUUGAUUACUGCACCACAAGUUGACAAAAAGCUGGGAAUUAAGUCCUCAUACUUGGCAUCCUAUUAAAUGACAUUUUAAAAGUAAAUAGCCAAAAAAGCUAUUAUUAGGGGGGAAAAAGGAAUCUAAUUCUAUGAAGAAGUUAAGUUAUAAAGAUUUGGUCCCUUUUAAAGUACUGUUGAAAAAGUUUAACAUGGUACUUAGAAGAACUGUAGAACUUAUUCUAAAAAUUAGGUUAACACUGCAGUCCAGCAUAUAUUCAACAUCUUUAAUUACUUUUUGCUCAAUGGAUUUAUUCUUUUUCCAAUUACAGCAGAUGGAUCAGGUACAGUUCUAGCAUUAAUUUCCCUAUGGUUGUAACUUGCUUCAUCUGCAGUAGAGAUGAGGAACCACCAAAUUCAUAUU